Molecule: ribosomal RNA, 253 nt
Filed under: uncultured bacterium
Lineage: Bacteria
Description: partial 16S ribosomal RNA
Rfam family: Bacterial small subunit ribosomal RNA
Source: RNAcentral
UACAGAGGGUGCAAACGUUGCUCGGAAUCAUUGGGCGUAAAGCGCACGUAGGCGGCCCAGCAAGUGGGGAGUGAAAGCCCUCGGCUUAACCGAGGAAGUGCUUUCCAAACUACUGGGCUUGAAUACUGGAGAGGGUCGCGGAAUUCCUGGUGUAGCGGUGAAAUGCGUAGAUAUCAGGAGGAACACCGGUGGUGUAGACGGCUUACUGGACCACGACUGACACUGAGGCACGAAAGCGUGGGUAGCAAACAGG